RNAcentral lists this ribosomal RNA (566 nucleotides) under Preussia sp. (in: ascomycete fungi). Its description in RNAcentral is "LSU rRNA". It matches the Rfam family "Eukaryotic large subunit ribosomal RNA", at positions 71 to 652 of the family's 3401-position model. Lineage: Eukaryota; Fungi; Ascomycota; Dothideomycetes; Pleosporales; Sporormiaceae. The record is from RNAcentral.
GGGAUUGCCCUAGUAACGGCGAGUGAAGCGGCAACAGCUCAAAUUUGAAAUCUGGCCCCCUCGGGGCCCGAGUUGUAAUUUGUAGAGGGUGCUUUGGCGUUGGCUGUGGUCUAAGUUCCUUGGAACAGGACGUCACAGAGGGUGAGAAUCCCGUACGUGGCCGCCAGCCUCCGCCGUGUAAAGCCCCUUCGACGAGUCGAGUUGUUUGGGAAUGCAGCUCUAAAUGGGAGGUAAAUUUCUUCUAAAGCUAAAUAUUGGCCAGAGACCGAUAGCGCACAAGUAGAGUGAUCGAAAGAUGAAAAGCACUUUGGAAAGAGAGUCAAAAAGCACGUGAAAUUGUUGAAAGGGAAGCGCUUGCAGCCAGACUUGCCCGCAGUUGCUCACCCGGGCCCUCGCCCGGGGCACUCUUCUGCGGGCAGGCCAGCAUCAGUCCGGGCGGUCGGAUAAAAGCCUGCUAAAUGUACCUCCCCUCGGGGAGGACUUAUAGGGCAGGUGGCAUGCGACCAGCCCGGAUUGAGGUCCGCGCUUCGGCUAGGAUGCUGGCGUAAUGGCUGUAAGCGGCCCGC